AAGCCGGGCAGAAGAGAGCGCCAGGGACUGGCAGUUCCGGAACGGGCAAUCCCAGCCGAGGGGACCAGCGGCAGAGCACGGGUCCGAGCCGGGGACGGUGGCGUCGAUGGGUCAUGCUCCGGCACUCCCCCUCGCUGUGGGAGCUGGUGGAGGAGCACGUUCCGCUCCGGGAGCGACCCGAAGUGAAGAGGAUUCUGGGGGAGGCGGCGGUGGACCUGAGCCUGGAGCUGCGGGCGGAGGUGGGGAGAGGGAAGGUGGGCCACGCCCCUGGCCUGCCCCACGACUCGGGUUUUCCCACCUCCUGCGGGUCCCUGGCCCUGCCGGGUAACUCCCGAGAUCCUAUCCUGGUCUCCCCUUUGACUCCGCCCUCUCCCUCACUCCCCCAGCCCCCACCAUUCCGGUCACUCCCCUCCCCAGUCGCAAGGUAUCCCAGCUCUCCUUGCAGGUGGCGAUGUUACGGGCACUGCUCCAAGAGGCUCGAUCCUCUCAAGCCCCCAGCUCCCGCCCCAUCUCUGACCCCUCUUCUCUUCUGGCACCACCGCCUCUCCUAAAGGACCUCUUGCGCCAGGAGCUCCGGCAGUUGCUCCAGGGUCUCCGCCACAAAGCCAUCUGUGAGGGCAGGGACCAGGCCCAAGCUUGGGUCCAGUAUAGCCCCAGGGUCCUGCACUUUGCCUUGGAGGAGCCCAGGUGUGAUUUGCCAGAACAGGAGAUAUUCCAGAUGAGAGGUGGUGGGCCCAGGCCUGGGGUGAGCAACAUGCGGAGAGUGAUAGUGACUUCAUUGCCAGCAGCGGUCACAGAGAUCUCAGCAUCAUCAAGGACCAACUGAACGUGUCCAACAUUGACCAGGUGGCCAGACACCUGAGGGGCCUUCUGGAGGAGGAGUGUCACACCUUGGAGAGGGAGAUCCUCAUCCUGCAGCGCUGCCUGGAAGAGGAGUAUAUGAGGCCUUGCCACCCCUCUGAGGCAGCCCUGGAGCCCACCCUGGCAGAGCUAAAGGAACAGAAGAAGGCCAUGGAGCAGGAGCUGCAGGCAUCUGUGGGGCCUUCUUGUGUCUCUCCCAACCACAGGCAGCGGCCCUUGGGGUCCUCCACACAGGGCCUCAGACCCCCGCGUCCCCUCUGCGGGGUUGCACCUCUCCAGUGCUGCCUGCCUGCACCUCCUCUGGAGCCCUACCUUCGACCUCGAGGCCAGUCAGCUACCCACCGCUGGGGAUGGCAGCUUCAGUGCAGCCCCAGGGAAGGGCCAGCUUCCACACCCAUGUCCAGUGCAGCACCCCAAGCCCCAGCCUGAAGGGCUGGUCACCGAGUAGGCUCUGGCUUCUGCCACAGCGCACCUGUCUGCCGCUGCCGCCUCAGCUGCUUUGGCCUAGCCAGCUUCAGAUCUGGUCUUGGCGAGCUCUCGCCAGGACCCCAAGGCUGUUGGUCUGUCUGGCCCUUGCCCCACCCCCUUGCCAGAUCCCUGGUGUCUGGAGCUGAGUGGCCGGGCAUCGGUCCCAAUCAUCAAAGCCUUUGGCCUUUCUCCUCCCAGGCCUCCACAAAGGCCUGGCAGACAGAGGUCUCAUUCCAGCCUGACUCUUGUCCCCUGGGGGACCCAGACAAAGCACAGCAGCCGCUCAGAGACAGGAAUAGAAAUUUCAUUAAAAUCUAUGGACUUUAAAA
Molecule: small RNA, 1658 nt
Filed under: Pan troglodytes (chimpanzee)
Lineage: Eukaryota; Metazoa; Chordata; Mammalia; Primates; Hominidae
Description: retained intron
Source: RNAcentral